GAUGAACGCUGGCGGCGUGCCUAACACAUGCAAGUCGAGCGAACGGACGAGAAGCUUGGGCUCCUGAUGUUAGCGGCGGACGGGAGCGUAACACGUGGAUAACCUACCUAUAAGAAUGGGAUAACUAUGGGAAACAGGAGCUAAUAACGGAUAAUAUUUCGACCUGCAUGGUUCAAAAGUGAGAGUAGGUCUUGGGGUCAGUAAAAGACGGAUCCGCGCUGCAUCAGCUAGUUGGUAAGGUAAAGGCUUAGCAAGGCAGGGAUGCAAAGCCGACCUGAAAGGGUGAUCGGCCACACUGGAUGUGAGACACGGUCCAGACUCCUGCGCGGGGCCGCAGUCGGGACUCUUCCGCGAUGGACGAGAGCCGGACAUUGCAACGCCGCGUGAGUGCUGAAGGACUUCUGAUCCUAGAGCUCUGUUAUUCUGAAGGAUCAUAAGCUUUUGUAACCGGGCUGAUCAUGACGGUACCGAAUCAGAAAGCCCCGGCUAACUACGUG
Molecule: ribosomal RNA, 497 nt
Filed under: uncultured bacterium
Lineage: Bacteria
Description: partial 16S ribosomal RNA
Rfam family: Bacterial small subunit ribosomal RNA
Source: RNAcentral